GAAAUGCGAUAAGUAAUGUGAAUUGCAGAAUUCAGUGAAUCAUCGAAUCUUUGAACGCACAUUGCGCCCGCCAGUAUUCUGGCGGGCAUGCCUGUUCGAGCGUCAUUACAACCCUCAGGCCCCCGGGCCUGGCGUUGGGGAUCGGCGGAAGCCCCCUGCGGGCACAACGCCGUCCCCCAAAUACAGUGGCGGUCCCGCCGCAGCUUCCAUUGCGUAGUAGCUAACACCUCGCAACUGGAGAGCGGCGCGGCCACGCCGUAAAACACCCAACUUCUGAAUGGUGACCUCGAAUCAGGUAGGAAUACCCGCUGAACUUAAGC
RNAcentral lists this unclassified non-coding RNA (320 nucleotides) under plant metagenome. RNAcentral's name for it is "partial contains 5.8S ribosomal RNA, internal transcribed spacer 2, and large subunit ribosomal RNA". The stretch from base 1 to 105 matches the Rfam family "5.8S ribosomal RNA", at positions 50 to 154 of the family's 154-position model. The record is from RNAcentral.